UGGGGAAUAUUGCACAAUGGGCGCAAGCCUGAUGCAGCCAUGCCGCGUGUAUGAAGAAGGCCUUCGGGUUGUAAAGUACUUUCAGCGGGGAGGAAGGGAGUAAAGUUAAUACCUUUGCUCAUUGACGUCACCCCGCAGAAGAAGCACCGGCUAACUCCGUGCCAGCGGCCGCGGUAAUACGUAGGUGGCAAGCGUUGUCCGGAAUUACUGGGCGUAAAGCGCACGCAGGCGGUUUGUUAAGUCAGAUGUGAAAUCCCCGGGCUCAACCUGGGAACUGCAUCUGAUACUGGCAAGCUUGAGUCUCGUAGAGGGGGGUAGAAUUCCAGGUGUAGCGGUGAAAUGCGUAGAGAUCUGGAGGAAUACCGGUGGCGAAGGCGGCCCCCUGGACGAAGACUGACGCUCAGGUGCGAAAGCGUGGGGAGCAAACAG
This 429-nucleotide ribosomal RNA is filed under the name uncultured bacterium. RNAcentral describes it as "bacterial SSU rRNA". It matches the Rfam family "Bacterial small subunit ribosomal RNA", at positions 355 to 775 of the family's 1533-position model. The record is from RNAcentral.